RNAcentral lists this ribosomal RNA (305 nucleotides) under uncultured bacterium. Its description in RNAcentral is "bacterial SSU rRNA". It matches the Rfam family "Bacterial small subunit ribosomal RNA", at positions 334 to 655 of the family's 1533-position model. The record is from RNAcentral.
UUCGCCUACGGGACGCAGCAGUGGGGGAUAUUGCACAAUGGGGGGAACCCUGAUGCAGCGACGCCGCGUGGGUGAAGGAGUGCUUCGGCAUGUAAAGCCCUAUCGGCAGGGAAGAAGCAAGACGGUACCUGACUAAGAAGCCCCGGCUAACUACGUGCCAGCAGCCGCGGUAAUACGUAUGGAGCAAGCGUUAUCCGGAUUUACUGGGUGUAAAGGGAGCGCAGACGGCAAGGCAAGUCUGAUGUGAAAGUCCGAGGCUCAACCUCGGGACUGCAUUGGAAACUGUCUGGCUAGAGUGCAGGAGG